Molecule: long non-coding RNA, 11680 nt
Organism: Peromyscus californicus insignis
Lineage: Eukaryota; Metazoa; Chordata; Mammalia; Rodentia; Cricetidae
Exons: 2
Source: RefSeq, a predicted model, not a curated record
AAAAAAAAAAAAAAAGGCCUUGAGUUGGUAAUUCUCCUGUCUAGAGAUCUGUGGCACUAGGCCUAGCUGAAAAGAAUCUAAAAAGAGAAGACGACCCCUCCUAACGGCACUUGUCUCGGUUCGUCCUUGCACACCAGGACACUGCCUCAGAACCACGCUGCAGCCUCUGGGAAGCAUCAAGAAUACUCACUGGGUAUGCUACACCCUCCAUUCUUGGUACUUCACCACAGACCCACAGGGCUCACAAGGUCACCACUGUCCUCUGACCCUUUCCUUCCCCUGGAUAAACAGCACACGAGCCAUGGCUGCGCCUCUCCAAGAAGGUGACCUGGCCUAGAGUUUUCUACAGACAGAAUGGCUUGCUCCGGUCUUCCACAAGCCCUUGUACUCAGUCACCCUGCAGGGAACAGAGUCCACCCUGCCUUCUUUCUUCCCUGUGGAUGAAGGUACAGUGAGUGUCUCCUGCAGGACAGCGUAGCAGCCAUUCAGAGUUCCACCUGAAGGAAAGGGAGCCAGGAACACCACCUUCCUCACUGAAUCGCAAGCUCGGGCGUCCUGGCCAUGCUCCACCUUCUUGAUGGAGCUGAGAGCCGAGGAAGUCCAAAAGGCCACGGGUCCAGGCCAAGCCUCAUGCACUGGGUAGAGUCCCUAAGAAUAAAGGCAGGUGGCCCUUCACUCUAGGGCGUGAAAACUUAGAGAGGAAAACAGGCUGCUGGAGCAAGCAAAUGUGGGGAGGCUGUGGGCAGAGGGACUCUGGUGUUCCUGGGAAUCCCUGCUCCCAAAGGCAGAUCCCAGUCAAAGAUCGCAGACAUAAUGUGGUUUUCUAGAGUGGUCAAAGGCCUCUCCUCAUCAUGCCAUUAGCCAAGUGUAAGAGGGCCUGGGAUGGGGAGGUAACGCUGGACAGUCAAUGGAAUUCCUCAGGAAGUUGCCUCUAUCCUGGGGGAGAGGGGGGGCGGCACAGCCCCUCCCCAACUCCUGCUCUCAGGGCAGGCUGCCAAGCAUUUCUACAAAAAAUGACCAGUCUCCACCUCCCAGCACCACACCCAAACUGGGAGCCCCCCUCCCAGGGACAAUAUGCAAGUCACCACAGCUACGGUUAAUAAAAAAAAAAAAAAAAUCACUGCCCUCCCCCACAACAGACCCAUUUUAAGUAUUUCACACACAGUUUCAUUUCAACACCCCAGCUACACCCUGGAGGGGGAUUCUCUCUAUUCACAACCACAUUAAAAACACUUGUCUUGGGUUGGUGGUGUGGCUCAGUUGGUAGUGCUUGCCUAGCAUGCAGGUUUGAUCCCCAGCACCACAACAACCAGGUGUGUUCAAAGUCAUCCUUGGCUACACAGACAUGUCUGAAGCCAGCCUGGACUGUACAAGAGACCUCGUCUCAAAACAUAAAAAAGAAAAAAAAAAAAACCUCUUAUCCUGAAAUUCAGGACAGCCACAGCAGAAAACCGCCGAUCCAACGUGGUCAACAAUGGCCACACAACACAGUGAUCCCCGGAAGCACCUCUGACACAGGCUCCCAGGGCUAAUGGUUUCCUUUCAGCCCUUUCCUGCCUCACCAGCUGGGUGGACACCACUUCUACCUCAGUCCUCAAGGUGCAGAGCUCAACCUGGCCAUAGCUCAGAUGGCUGUGCACUCCCCUCCCCCCACGGGGUGUAGGUCCCCAAGGGGCAGGGGCUGCUUCCAUUCCCUCUGGAGAACUCUCAGGUAGCCUUUCCCAGUCUCCUUCGCUCCUGCCCCUCCUUGGCAGGGAAUGAAGGGGUGUCCUGCACUAUUUAGGAGGUAAGAUGGAGGGUCCAGGACAUAGACCCUAAGGUUUCAGUAUCCCGUAGAAAGCCCAGGGCCACGCAGGCUCACAGUGAGAGGCAGGUGAGCUGCCUGAGAAGUGGUUCAAAGGAGACAAAACAAAAACUCUAGCCACGGCCCCCUCCGUGGGCCAUCAUCUGGCUGUCCCCCUGCGAUUGAGGACGCACCCUGCAACUGCUAUCAUUUCCAACCCACUUCCUCCAUACUUGGCAGCCUCUUCUCUAGCCCUUCCACGUGAGGAGAACAUCUCUUUUGUAUUCGGGGUGUGCUGUGCUUCAAAACAAAACAAAAUAAAAAAGGCCCACUUCCCUUGCCCAGUCCUGAGUAGGAGCGAACUACAAGUUAAAAUUAAACGGAAAGUUUGUACUUCGGGUUUAGAUGUCCUCCCAGUUCCACCAGCCAUUUUUAAAACAUCCCAACGCAGUUGGUUACUCUGUGUAGCCCCAGCGACCAAGAUUACUCUGCUUACACAGGAACUUCCAGCCCCAGGCAGGAGGCAAUCUCCAUUCCCCCAGAGGUCACACCCAGGAGGAGGCUGGCACUCACAUCCUGCUGGCAGUGGGGAGGUACCACAGAUUCCCAAGAAGUCAGCCUGCCCUUGCUCCCCUGUUCUUAAAAAACAAAACAAACAAACAAACAAAAAAACCAACAAAACCCCGACCCACCCCACCCCAAGCUUGGGUGUGCCAUAGUUCCUCACCAGUGGGAGCUGAAUUUCAUGAUAAACACUAACACACUCACUCUGCUCAAGAACUUGUUUGUUUCAGGAAUCUGCCUUUACAGAUUUCUCAGAUGUGACCUUUCUCCUACAUCUCUAAUGCUGCAGCCCCGGUCACUGCCACCAAGCUACUUCAAACUAGAAGGCUGUGACCUCAGGGGAGGAUGUGGUUAGGCGAUAGCCUGGUCUACUGGUAACAGACCUCACCCUGGAUGCAAGACCCCUACCCUGGGCUCAAUGAUACCAUCUCUGUCCUCUGGAGUCCGAGCUUCUACCUCUUAGAAAGGGGGCGGUGACAUCUGUUUAACCUACAAAGUGCACAUUCCAGCCUCAAAAAAAACGCUGGGAAACUGUUUAAGUUUCUAAAUGUGAUCCACAAGCCUCCCCUCGUCACCUAUCCCUGUACCCAAAUCUAGUUCAAGCUCCCCCCACCCCACCCCCAGCCAUCCUUGUAAUUGGCACUGAGCACCCAGGCUGGGCUCCGGGCUCAGAGGCGGUUGCUGCAUGAAUCAUUUAAUCGUGUAUUAAGCAUCUGAUCCUCCUAGAGGUCAGAGACUGUCCUUCCCCAUAAUCAGCCUAGCGGGAACGCACACCACAGCACUGCUUAGCAAAUGCCCCCCUUAUUGGGCCAGGCACAAUAUGAGUCCUGGGGACACCCAAAGAGAGGGGCAAAACAGCCCUGACACACAGCGCGAAAACAGUGUGCUGUAACCGGUGGAAAUCAACGCCGCAUGAGCUCUGUCUUUCAUACAGCAGCUUUGGGUAUGUGCCUAUGCCAGUCAGGCACCAGCCCUGACAGCCCAUCAGCCGCUACCCUACCAAACUGGCCCAGCACUCAGCAUAUAGGCCUCCAGUUCUCCCUACACAGGGCACUCCUGCCACAUUGUUGGCUGAAGAGACACAGAAGCCAUGGUGAACCAAGAUGGGGUUAGGGGAGGAGUCUACCAGAAAGAGCAGCGGCUGGUGGCAUGCCGGGAGAUAGCUGGUAAAUAGCCCCAUCCCAGAGUACCAAGUAGUAGGAUGAGUUAGGGAGUUAGCAGUCUUCAAAUGUCCCUAGUAGAUAAGACAGGCCACUGAGGGCGGAUCGGAGGCACCCAGAAAGACCAGAGGGAGAUGCUGUCUCAGCCAGGAAUGGCUAUGUAACUACAGCCCAGUGCAAAACGAAAAGGUGGGUCCCUUGUUCACAAGACACAAAACAAAAUCUCAUAAAGUUUUAUGACGGUGACAGCCAAGUAUGUGCGUGGGUCACAUGGCUCUGAUUAAAAUGGACAGCUUGGAUCUACAACAGCUUUCUAAAACAUAAAGUCCCGGAAGGAAGGAUACUUUUGAGAGCUCUGCUCCUUACUUUUUCAGAACUUCUGUGGUAACUGAGAGAGCGGGCAGGAGGCAGGCAGGCUUUGUAGUCAAACAGACCUGGCUUAGUCCAAGUUUCUCUCUCUAGCCCAGUGGUUUUCAACCUGUGGGUCGAGACCUCUUAGAGGAUGGGCAAUCCUUUCACAAGGGUCUCCUAAGACCAUCAGAAAACACAGAUAUUUACAUUACAAUUCACAACAGUAGCAAAACUACAGUUAUGAAGCAGCAACAAAAUACCUUUAUGGCUGGGGGGGGGGUCCCCACAACCUGAGGAACUGUAUUAAAGGGUCUCAGCAUUAGGAAGGUUGAGAACCGCUGAUCUAGGACAUCUCACCUCCCUGGGCUUCUAGUUUCCUGUCACAACUCUAGUGCCAACCACCUAGGGCUGGAUUAAACAAUAAGAUGUCCUAGCCCAGAACGUCACUGGCUUGGAAAAAGUCACCCAUCACCCCCUUGACCCACAGCUGGCUCCACUAUAGUACCCACACAUGUAUAGCAUCCACACUGAAGAUGCCGGCUUGGAAAACUAAAGCACCUAACCUGUCCCUGUCCUCCAAGCUGCCUGCCAUGGGCUCCUAGCUCAACAUCCUGAGCCCCCCACACUGAUCUGGAGAUGCAUAUGUUCAACCUCUACAUCUUGUUUUGCUGGUUUUUCUAUACCAAGCUCCAGCCAUGAUUUUCCUUUCCUUUACUGAGAGAUAAUCAAAUAAAUAAACGUGGCUUUGGUUUCAACCUUGUCAGCCCCUCACCAAUUUAGGUUCCAAGUUCCAGGCUUCGAACAGAAGACUCCCAUCAGAUUGACCCUGUGUGUUUUGGUGCUCCUGGGUUUUAACUAGGUCAGCUUUUAAAUGGGCCAUCCCCCGUCGCAGAUCCCAUUUCUAGCUAGAAGGCCAAACCGUAUGAGUCAUCGGGGUUUCAGACAGAGAUAAUAGAUGCAUGCUUGCGUUUGUUUUACCGGUAAUCUGCUUACCAACCUUCUGUUUACCAACCGUUGUGGUUAGAACCUGCAAAACUCAGUCAGGUUCCACUCGGGAAGGGACUCAGCUAUGGGUCAGAAGUUGGAUAUUUUGAAAACUGGAGGGGUCUUAGGGAUCAGAGCCCAGUGGCUUUCUGAUCACAACCGCUGCAAGGUACACGUUUCCAGGGCUAGAGAGACGUUUCACAAGUUAAGGCAUUUGCUGCUCUUGUACAGGGCCAGCCAGACUUUGGUUGGUGUGCAGCACCAAGGGUCAGAGGCUCACAAGCCUGUAACCCCAGCUAGGGAGGAGGGUGGAUUUGUGACCUAUUCUCCCUCGUCUCCCCAGGCACCUGCAGAUGUAUACACACACACACACACACACACACACACACACACACACACACACACACACACACAUACACACACACACACCCCAAUACAAACAAACCUAAAAAACAUUUUACUCAGAGCAUGCACUUUUUGCGUGUAUAGGCACACAGUGAAAACAAACACCACACUUAGGAUUUCAUCUAUUAAUGUUUUAAAAUCUUAUUUUUUAUUUAUGUGCUUCUGUGAGUGAACGCCACGUGUGGGAGGGACCCUGCGGAGGGCAACCGAUCUCUUGGAGGGAGGAGUUACAGGGUGCUCUGCGUGCUGAGAACAGAAUCCAGGUCCUCUUUAAGAGCUGCAAGUGCUCUUAACUGCCGAGCCAUCUCUCCAGCCCUCUUAUUAUUGGCCCACAGUAAGGGGUGAGGUGGGUCAGAGACAUCGAUUGUUGAGCGGUUUAAAGAGUCCUUGUUUUAGCGGAGGACCCAGGUGCAGGCCUGGGCAGACAGCGCAAGGAAUUCUGGGCUGGGUUAAUUUUUCUCUUCUGCCACACCACGCACAGACACCUGUCCUAGGUCAGGAUCACAGCCCCUGGCAGAAAGCAAGGGAACCCACACACCUUCCACCAAGCUCCCGAGUUCCUGCAGCCUCGGUGGCAGCCAGGGCUUGGGGUCUCCACGCCUCUCAAGAUCUUGCGUAGUCGUAGCUAGGGGCAAAGUUCUUCCUCGCUUUAAAAACAAACAAAACCCUCCCCAAGAAUUGAAAGCAUCUCCGAGCCUUGGAUUUUUUGCUGCUGCGUACAAAGCAGCUCGGCAGGCAGCGGGGGAGCACGUGGCGCGGGCAGCGGUGACGCCAUCCUCAUUACUUGGAGGCGGGAGGGCGGGCCAAGGGAGAUCUGGCCGGCUCAUAGGUCCAGCAGGCAGGGCGGGCCCGACCGCACCAGCCCGCCAGCCCCGUGACUCGCUCUUAUCGCCCGCUGCCCCCACCCCCCCAAACCGGGCGAUGUCGGGUGACUUGGCCUCCACUUCCCGCAGAAGGAGUCGGUACAGGGGACGCUUCCUCUCACUGGAAAGGGCUUGGUGGUACCUGGAGGCCCCGGUGCAGGCCAGGCUUGCUCAAGAGGAUGUCUACCUUCUGCCCCAGCCCGCAUACUAUGCCUUUGCAUUCCUCCUAUCUUUGUUUAAGAUUUUUUUUAAAAAAUGUGUUACGAGUAUUUUGCUUGCACACUGUGUGCGAGCCCCGUGCCCGCAGGGGCCAGAAGAGAUCGUCGGAUAUUCUGAAACUGGUGUUGCAAACGUCUGUGAGCCACUUGUGGGUUCUGGGAACCGAACCCUGGGAGUCUACAAGGGCAGCAAGCGGUCUUAACUGUUGGACUAUCUCUCCAGCUCCCUUUAUUCCUUCUCUUAAGGCCUGGUUCCUGCCUUCCAUCUCAACCAUCGGUUCCUCCUCCCGCACCACGCCUUCCUUCCCUGGCUGCCUGGCCCUGCCCUAGUCGUGACUGACUUUCAGGUAACAGAAAGUUACCAGAGAGGCCUGAAACAGCCUAGACGGCUGCCGUGGGGUCUGACUCCGGCUUGUCUGAAGGUACAGAGGUGUUUCCUUCCUGGCUUCCUGUGCGGCCUGGAAUACAGGGAGAGAGGUCACCAGUCCAGGCGGACAGAAAAAGGGAUUGCUCAAGAAGCACUCAAGGCAUAUGCAAGGAUGCUACAGGCAGUCUCUUGACUUGGCUUCUGUCUCUGCCGUCUCUGAAUUUGCUGUGUGCCCUGGUAGAAGUUGCUGCUCACUCUGGGCUUCAGCCCCAUCCUCCAGACUGCACACUGGCCAGUUGAGCUGGCGUAGAGAGACGAUGAGGCCCUUCUGGUCUGAACUUUGAAUACCUGGUAUUCCCUCUAGAUCUAAACUCAGGCAGGACUCCUAAAGGAGGCAGGGGGCCUCGGGGACGGAGGAGCUCAGGAUUUAGUGUGCCAAGGAGCAAGGUUGUUCAUUAUUCUAGAUAAUAACUAAGAUGGAGAAACAGAUCAGCUAGACUCUUUCGACACACCACGAUCACAAAAAUAGUCCCCAGAGGCCCAGGGUGUGGGGUUCCAAAUGUGGGGAGUCUGUCAGUCAUCUCACAGAGCACCCAGUGGCACCCAAGCCCCUCUUGAGGUAAGGGCAAUGGGCAGGAACCGCCUCCACUCACCAACACUGUGAUUCCUGAUAAAACCCACGGUGGGUGCUGUGUUCUUACUAGAGAGCCACAGCACUGUCCCCAUGCAGUAGAAAAGCUGGGCUGGAUUGGGGCAGAUCCAGUGAUGUUGCAUCAUGGCUCAUUAUUCCCCCUAAAGCCUUUAAUGGCCAUGGAGAUCAAGGGCAAACCCAGAGCAGGAUUCUCAGGACCCCCACCCCCCACCUCUUUCCAAGGCAGCUGUCUCUGCCUCCCCCCAUUGCUAGCUAGCCCUUCUCUGCAGCAAAAAAUGGUGACACAUGGCAUUGCAUGUCACAGGACUUCUACCUCACCUACCCUUCCCAGGAGCCUGUCUGUCCCUGGCUACCAGGGCCCUCUGAGAGUUGCUGUACAGGUCUACAGACUCAGUGUCCCCCAGGUGCCCUGUACAUGGGAACAAGCCACUCAGGCUGGAAGAAAGGUUGAGGCACAGGUCCUUGAAAAGCUUCUAGAUGACUACUCCCUUCUCCAAUGUCUGAGGCAAAGCAUCCCACUAGAACCACUCAUGGGCAGACCAACUGUACCAGCUGAGGGAUGCCAGUGACCAGCAGCUGAAAUCAGAUGGGAAAUUUAAACCAGGCAGUGAUGCUGGGCCCUCUAACGGCCUCGAGGCUGGCUGCUGAGGAAAGCCCUCGGCACACUCCCUAGGGCUACCUUGAGAUGUUGACUGCACAACACAAAGGAGACCAUUUCCCCAGUUUCACUGGCAAUUCAAUGAUUCUGCCCAUCGUGACCCUGUCAUGACCGGCCUCAAAAGACACAAAGCCAUUCAGACUCAAGUGCCGGGACACCGGAGCCUUGGUGUGGAGAUCCACCCCAUUUCCAGUUGACCUUUAAACAAAACAAACAAACAAACAAGAAAACCAAACCAACAGACAAACAAAUGCUCCAGGGAUGGAAAUGUAGCUUACUUGGUAGCAUGCAUGAAACCUGGGUUUGAUCCCCAGCACCAAAUAAGCCAUGCCGGAUGGAAUGCCUCUAGUCCUAGCCCUCAGGGGGUAGAGAGGGUCAAGGCUAUCGCUACCUCCGAUGCCUAAUGAGUUAGAAACCUGUGGUGUAUUCCAAGAUCAGAGUCAGCCUGGGACGGAAACCUUGGGCCUUUUCUGUCCUCUCAGCCUAGGGCUCAGAGGCAGAGAGUCCCAUCCGGAAGGACCUCCUCAAAGCAAGAGGAAACAUAGGAGGCAAAUGAAAGGGACGGAGAGGGAAGUACCCAGACCCAACCUGGGUUGUGUGUGUGUGGGGGGAGGCCCCCAGUCAGGCCUCACACACCUUAGCAGGCAUGGAAAUGCACGAGAGGCCAAACAGCCCCAGAGAAGAAGCCUUGCCCUUGGCUUCCUUCCUACCCCCUCUCUGUCAGGCCUGACAGAGUCUCCUCAUCACAGGAGCUGAAGCCUCGGCAUCCAGGCUCCAAUAGGGAACAAAUGAUUUGGGCAGAGAUGGAAACCAAGCACGCAGAAGAACCUCACUAAUUAAGAAGGGAAUCAAUCAGCUGUUUCUCCCUCAGCCUAACAGGAUGCACUCCACUUGCCUAAGUGAACAAAUCAAAUACAUAUGGCAAAAAUCCUGGUCCAGAAGGAGGGGGAAGAGAAGAGGGAGAGACGGGGAGACAGAGAAGUGGGGGGAAAGGAGGAGGAAGGGGAGGGAGGAAGGGGAAGCUAAGCCAAACCAGUGUCCUGAGUGCCAUUCUCUUCCCCUGGUCUUGCUGGUGAACCUGACCUACACUUAAUUAUUUUAAAAAUAGAACACAGAGCCGGAGCGGUGGUGGGGCGGGCGUUUAAUCCCAGCACUCAGGAGGCAGAGGCAGGUAGAUAUCUGUAAGUUCGAAGCCAGCCUGGUCUACAAAGCGAGUUCCAGGAUAGUCAGAGCUACCCAAAGAAACACUGUUGUUCACAGAUCUACAGUUACUUUAAUCUUAAAAUUCUAAAAACCAAAAUAAAGAACCCCAAAUGUUACAACUUUUGAGGGCUGUUUGAGAGUCAGGGAGGGGCUUGAGAUAAGUGGAUAAGAUAGGUGGAGAUAGGCUGGAGGUAGUUGAUAAGGCUCAGAUCAGUGUCUGAAGGAGUGCCAGACCCCACCCCACCCCACCCCACCGCCAUCACAGUAGCCCACACAGACAAAGCUAUUUGGGCUAUGUUAAGAGAAAUAAGCAGGAAUGGGCAUGGGCGGGAGGUGGGGCUCACCAGUAGAGUGCUUGCCUAGCAUGUACGAGCAUGCCUUAUGUGCAAGUUCUAGUAGCAAGGAUUUGGGGGAGGGGGACCUCAGUGGCUAAAGUCACUCAGUCACCAAGCCUGAGACCUGUGUUUGAUAUUUGGAACCCCCGCGUGGAGAGAACCGACACUUGCAAGUUGUCCGCUGACCUCCACACGCAUACUAUGACACUCAUCUGUGAGCACACAACUGCACAUAAAAUCUAACAAAACCUUUUUUUAAGAAAAAAAAGACAAGUGGAAAAAAACCAAGGCUCCCUGGUGGGAGUGUCGCAAAGCCGAGCUUUACCAAAAGACCAAGCCUUAAAUUCUGGAACCUCAUGGGCAGGCUGAAGAAGGCGACUAGGAUGGGAAGGCAUCUGAAAACCGGGCGCUGGACAAUUGAGGGAGACAGGGGUGCCUAGGCUGGAAGAUGGGAGACCGACCUGCAAUAAUCAAAGGAUGCUAAGCAACCAUCUGCGAAGAGCUCUGCACACAAACUGUGCUGAACGCCCAUUAAAUGGAUGAGUAAUGCAUUCCGAAGCUCUGCUAAGCAGUGCCGUGGCUCUUCUCCUAAAAAUGCUGCUUUGGUUGUGGCUCUGAAGGAGGGUUACCUGCUUAGACCAUGGGCCCAAUCAAUCAUUCAGCCGUCUUUAAUGAGUAGCCACAGUAUGCCAGGCAGCGUGCUAAGUGGUAAGGUAUGGCAUGGCAGAAAACCCAUAUGGUGCCUGCCCUCCCCCGUGUCUGCCUUCCAGUGGGGGAAGUGGACACCAAGCCAGUGAUUGUAUACACCUGUAUUUACAGCUGAAGCGCAGAGGGAAAAAAAGAAAAGCCGUAGUGACAAGGGACAGUAUUGAAAAGGUGGCUAAAGAAGGCCAUCCAAGGUGGGUUUUCUGUGCGGACUUGAGUCCCACAUAGUCUGUGAUCAGGGCCCUUAACAAUGGAAGGAACAGCCCCGCCCGAGGCUCUUAAGUGGGAAGCAUGCUUGGCCACGCUGGGCAGCUGGGGAGCUGUAAGAGCAUCUGUGAAGGGAGGGCCCAGUGAGAGCUUGGUGGGUACAAGGUGCCUAACCGGAUGAACUGAGUUCAGUCCCUGGACCCCCACGUGGUAAAGGAGGGAACAGACUCAGACAAGGCGGCUGACCUCCACAUGAGCAAUGGGACUUUACCAAGGGCUGCCAAUGGUCAUGUUUUCUGGGAGAAGUGGGCUACACUACACAAUGGGAGACAUCCUAUGAAUAUUGCUUUGAUUAUUAUCCUAGGGACACAUGAGACAGUCUGGCUUGGCUCUAGGCGUUUCCACUUACUUAAGCAUGGAGACAUUUUUUGUUGUUUUUGAGACAAGGUCUCAUGUAGCCCAGAUGGUCAUAAACUCUCCAUUGCAACUGAAGAUGACCUUCAACUUCUGAUCUUCCUGCCUCUACCAUCCAAGUUCUAGGAACUCAGGCGUGUACCCAUUUUAAGUUGUGCUGGAGAUCGAACCCAAGGCUUUGGGCAUGCUAGGAAAACUCUACAAACUGAGCUACAUCCCCAGGCCAGAACUGUGGCUUUGGGCAGGACUUCACCAACUCUGUUCACCACUAGAACGGGAAGAAGAGUCUACACCCCACAGGACCGGGCCAGACGCCAGGUGGGAAGGCACUUGGGAAACCUUUGUGUGCUGGGCAUUACUGCAAUCCAUUUCACAAGCAUGUUCCUUACCAAGUAAGAAGCUGUACCCCACAGACUACGGAGGAGGUGCCCUACACCCAAGUCCCCUACUCUUCCAUGUUUGCUGAUCAGAAAGGCAUUAAAAAUAAUCUGGGAAAACAUCCUGCGGUUUUACUUUUCCACUAUAUAGCAGCCAGAAUGCUCUGAACACUCUCCGCCGUAUCCUUCACUUCACUCUGUUGGGAGAAGAACCAGCUGAGUUACACCACGGCAGUGUGUUGGAGGAUAAACUCCAGGGAUGGAGACAAGGGUCCACACCUGGAGGAGGUUCCUUGCUAUGGGCCAUCGAAGCCUCACUCGAACUUCCCGAGAGCCAGAGACAGCCAGGGUGUUCCCAUCCGGACUGAGUAAGAAGCUAUGUGAUAUACAAUGGAAUAUCUGGUCCAAAAUCAAUUUUCGGUUGUUGCUUGUUU